GACGAACGCUGGCGGCGUGCCUAAUACAUGCAAGUAGAACGCACAGUUUAUACCGUAGCUUGCUACACCAUAGACUGUGAGUUGCGAACGGGUGAGUAACGCGUAGGUAACCUGCCUGGUAGCGGGGGAUAACUAUUGGAAACGAUAGCUAAUACCGCAUAAUAUUAAUUAUUGCAUGAUAAUUAAUUGAAAGGUGCAAUUGCACCACUACCAGAUGGACCUGCGUUGUAUUAGCUAGUAGGUGAGGUAACGGCUCACCUAGGCGACGAUACAUAGCCGACCUGAUAGGGGGAUCGGCCACACUGGGACGGAGACACGGCCCAGACUCCUACGGGAGGCAGCAGUAGGGAAUCGUCGGCAAUGGACGAAAGUCUGACCGAGCAACGCCGCGGGAGUGAAGAAGGUUUUCGGAUCGUAAAGCUCUGUUGUAAGAGAAGAACGGGUGUGAGAGUGGAAAGUUCACACUGUGACGGUAUCUUACCAGAAAGGGACGGCUAACUACGUG
This 505-nucleotide ribosomal RNA is filed under the name uncultured bacterium. Its description in RNAcentral is "partial 16S ribosomal RNA". It matches the Rfam family "Bacterial small subunit ribosomal RNA", at positions 28 to 507 of the family's 1533-position model. The record is from RNAcentral.